UGUGUGUUUUGAUUUGAUUCUGAGAAAAUAAAUUCAUUUAAUAGAUUUAUUUCAUUAACAGGUAUUUAUUUAAGGGAGCACCACUGUAUUUAAAUCUCCUAACAGUUUCCACUUACUUCUUCCUUAGCUGGCUUGCUUCGUGUUGACUAAUUUAAAUAAGCCUACGGUGUCUAGGGUCUUAUUGAGUGUUCAGUUUGAUCAAUACGGUUAAAUUAAAAUUGUGCAAAAUAUAAGCAAAUGUAGUCUAACAACACAGUGAAAAAUGGACUGGGCACUGGGCAUUGAUUGGUGUGCUGAGGGUGGGCUGUGUGGGGCAAGGGGGAGCUUCUGAGGUACCAGGAAGCUGCCAGAGUCCUCUGAACUUCUUGCUGGUUUCAGACAGAGUCAGGGCAUCCCUCCUGCACAAGGGCCCCAGCACAGUCCGCCCUCUGAUAAGAAGGAAAGGCAUUUACACCAGGUGUUUUCCCUUUGGAUUUAAUGGAAAGUAGACUGUAAGGCUAGCAGUGAAAUCCUUUAUGAAGAGAAGGGAACCAGCUUUAGCUCUUUUAAAAGUCCACUUUCCACCAUUGCUGAAAUGCUUUAGGCAAUAAAGGAAUGCAGGCUCCAGUUGUUUUCCGUGGAAUAACUUCUUACUUAAUUGUGAUUGUUCUUCUAUCUUAAUCAUCCGGUUAGCUUUUGUUCUUUGUUGAAGUCUUUAUUUUUAAAGUUGGAUUUUGCAAGCUACCAAA
RNAcentral lists this long non-coding RNA (728 nucleotides) under Rattus norvegicus (Norway rat). RNAcentral's name for it is "long non-coding RNA NONRATT019273". Lineage: Eukaryota; Metazoa; Chordata; Mammalia; Rodentia; Muridae. The record is from RNAcentral.